GAGAAAAUGGGAUGGCAGGCUGGCAGGAAUAAAUUAACCCAGAAAAAAAGAACAAAAGGAUACUGGCCUCAGGUUCCAUCAUGAUCUGCUGCAGCAAUCCUCAUGCGGGGCACCACCCGUCCGGUCUUUCCCAGAGACUCUUGCCAAGUGACGGAUGGAAGAAGUUCACUGACACAGAGAUAUGGAGGCCAGGAAGUCCAAGAUCAAGGUGCUGGUCGAUUCCUGCUAAGUGCCCUCUUCUUUAUUUUCAGACUGAUGGCUUCUAACUGUAUCCAUACAUGAUGAAGACAUUCCCACAUAAAAUCUCCUUCUUUGAUGAUCACGGGAUGUGUAAGAGAUCCAUUCGUUAGAUGAAAAUUGCCAUCAGCUUCACAAAAAACACACCAGAUGUAUCCAAUUUUAGAAAAUUCCCACAAAGGUCCUGAUCCCCCAUUUAUUUAUUUAUUUAUUUGUUUGUUUGUUUGUUUGUUUAUUUACUUGCCAUGCUUCACCCUUAAUAGAAAUGUGUAUGACAGUGAAAUAUAAAAAACCUACAAAGAAUUUAAAUAUCUCCAUUAAUUUUUAAAGGAAAAUAUAUUUCAGUAAUUUAUUUUGUUUUGUGCUAUAGAGUUUUUACUUCCACAAACAAUGAAUCAUGUAAGUUUUAGGCAUAUAUCUGUCUGUAAGUCUGCAUGUAACAGCCUAAAUAUACAGAAACAUUUCUGUUAACAUGGUCCAUCUUCACUCAGCCUCCCUAUACUUGCCUCACUUAACCAACUGUUCUCAGUUCUUCUCAGGUAUAAGAUUCUACUCUAGCUUUCCAUAGGAUAGUAUAAAAGUAGCCAAGAAGCUGACAGCUAUAAUUUUCCAGCUUUACUUAAGAUUAUGUUGUGGUCCAGAUCAGCUUGUGUUGACUGAAUUAUUGUUUCCUGACUUAAUGUCUGACCUCUGGAUGACACUUUCUAUUUGACGUAGAUAGCAUUUUUUUUAGUUUUCCUCAUCGUUGGACUAAGUAUCUUAUAUUUUGCUUGCUGUUUCAAGUUCAUUUACCAAAUAAGAGUAUUUUCUGAUAUUUCUGAACUCUUUUAUCUAGCAUGUACUGUACGUCUUACAAGAGUGAAAUAAUAAAUGGCCAUAAAUGAUAAUGAAUGCAGGGUAAGGCCAAGAACUUCACUGUAUGGAAGUCUUAAGGCUUCAUGUAUAUUUCCCCAAAUAUUAUCUAUGACAUUUGACCUUCUGGAAUGAUCUUUUCAGGUCUCCUUGGAAUUAUUUCCAGAUUCAUGUUUUAUAUUUACAUAUUCCUAGUCUCCUUAAAUCUGGGAAUUUCACUAUUUUUUUUCACUUAGCUAAAUCAUUACACUUGUAAGAAUCCUCUUCAGUGAAAUAGCUAUUUGUCCAAACCCUCUCUUGUCUGCCCAUGCGUUGUUUGUCUGUAGUACAAUUUCCUUGGAACUUCCAUUUAUGAGAAAUUGAACAAGACAUUUUAAAAUAUCAAAAUUAUGGCUGCUUAAGUUUCCCAUUUAAAAAUGCUUUCUUCACUCUACAACGUUAUAAUAGGUUUCAUAGCAAAUAAUAUUAUUCAUUUUUAUUAAUUCUACCAUGAUAACCAUUUGACUUGUUAGUGACCAAUACAUGUAUAUUUGGAAUCACUAAUGAAUUCUAAUUAUAAAGAGCACUCAAAAUGGUACUUUAAUAACACUUUGGGAAAACAGUAAUUUAUAAUGAUGAC
Molecule: long non-coding RNA, 1708 nt
Filed under: Homo sapiens (human)
Lineage: Eukaryota; Metazoa; Chordata; Mammalia; Primates; Hominidae
Description: HSALNT0249465
Source: RNAcentral